UUGACGGGUGCACGAUGCGCGCGGUUUGUGUGUGUGUGUGUGCCAUGCUGUGUUCUGCAAUGCUUCGUUACCACGUUUAUCGAUUAUGCACGUUGGUUACUUGAUUCAAUGUCAAGUGUACCUUCCAAGACGAUCUAGGUCCUAGUCUCGUGACUGAAGGCGAGUGCGGACGUACAGCAGCCUUUUGACAAGACUGUCGCCGAGUGUACGGUACAUUGUGGACUGUAAAGCUGAAGAGUGCACAGUGGAUGCCUGAUUUUGGAACCGAGUGUGAUCGUCUGGGCGGUGUGUUCACUCUGCGGGGAUGAUGGCCAGAGGAAGGAUGAUAGACAGACGACAGCUUGCAGACGAAGAUGGGAGCGUUCUACCUGUGAGCCUGGUCGAGCUUAUAUUUUAUGGAUACACAUGCAUGGAUACACAUACAUGGAUUCCCUACAAGGACCCUGCGCAUCAAAAGCAAUCUGUCAUCAAUGUUAAGUAGACAGAUUAAACGAAACGAAGAUAUGACAGGUGUACACCAUAUUUUUCUUUCAUUUAACCUCUGCAUGUUUCCCAGUCAAUAAAUGUUUUUAUCCAUUUUCUUUUGUUGAGAAAUGUCUUUGUACAGCACAAGUGUCGUAGAAGGUGCAUACAUGCACUUUUGUAUGAUGCUUGGCUGCAUGUGUAUCAACCAGCAAACACAU
Rhipicephalus sanguineus (brown dog tick) is the source of this 683-nucleotide long non-coding RNA. RefSeq lists it as uncharacterized. The transcript is spliced from 4 exons. The record is from RefSeq and is a predicted model, not a curated record. Lineage: Eukaryota; Metazoa; Arthropoda; Arachnida; Ixodida; Ixodidae.